RNAcentral lists this transfer RNA (73 nucleotides) under Dactylella tenuis. RNAcentral's name for it is "tRNA-Val". It matches the Rfam family "tRNA". Rfam says of the family: Transfer RNA (tRNA) molecules are approximately 80 nucleotides in length. Their secondary structure includes four short double-helical elements and three loops (D, anti-codon, and T loops). The record is from RNAcentral. Lineage: Eukaryota; Fungi; Ascomycota; Orbiliomycetes; Orbiliales; Orbiliaceae.
AAGGGAUUAGCUCAGUUGGUAGAGUAUUUGUUUUACACACAAAAUGUCAAAAGUUCAAAUCUUUUAUCCCUUA